Aptenodytes forsteri (emperor penguin) is the source of this 442-nucleotide long non-coding RNA. RefSeq lists it as uncharacterized. The transcript is spliced from 3 exons. The record is from RefSeq and is a predicted model, not a curated record. NCBI's taxonomy places the organism in Eukaryota, Metazoa, Chordata, Aves, Sphenisciformes, Spheniscidae.
ACGACCCCUGCCCAGGUGAAGACCCUUCCCCCGCGCAAGCGUAGUAACAGAAGAGAAUGACAUAACCGGUAUUAUAAUUAUAGCCUGAUUUGUCGAGGAUGUUCCUGAUUUAUCGAGGAUGUUCCUGAUUCAUCAAGGAUGUUCCUGAUUUAUCAAGGAUGUUCCUGAUUCAUCGAGGAUGUUCCUGAUAUAUCUCCCUUGAGAUUAGCCGCCGUGCCAGGUAUUUACUUCGAACCUCCCCGACCUUGAAUAGUUAACAAAGCACUGGGCAAAAUAAUUGCACAUUAAUCGAUGACAGCCUCCUGCAAACUUACAUCACCAUCACCGCAGCCAUCGCCCUGAAUUAGGGAACAAAUGGAUAAUUAUCCAGUACAUGUAUCUCCUGUUGGCCACGUAACUGUGAAAACACACCCAAGUUGGAAAACUCCGAACUUACCACAGG